AUUGAACGCUGGCGGCAGGCCUAACACAUGCAAGUCGAACGAGUGGCGGACGGGUGAGUAAUGUCUGGGAAACUGCCCGAUGGAGGGGGAUAACUACUGGAAACAGUAGCUAAUACCGCAUACCAUCGGAUGUGCCCAGAUGGGAUUAGCUAGUAGGUGGGGUAACGGCUCACCUAGGCGACGAUCCCUAGCUGGUCUGAGAGGAUGACCGCCAACACGGGAACGGAAACACGUGCCAGACUCCUACGGGAGGCAGGAGUGGGGAAUAUUGCAAAAUGGGCGCAAGCCUGAUGCAGCCAUGCGGCGUGUAUGAAGAAGGCCUUCGGGUUGUAAAGUACUUUCAGCGAGGAGGCGUUACUCACAGAAGAAGCACCGCCUAACUCCGUGCCAGCGGCGGCGGUAAUA
This 405-nucleotide ribosomal RNA is filed under the name uncultured bacterium. Its description in RNAcentral is "partial 16S ribosomal RNA". It matches the Rfam family "Bacterial small subunit ribosomal RNA", at positions 30 to 525 of the family's 1533-position model. The record is from RNAcentral.